Molecule: ribosomal RNA, 253 nt
Filed under: uncultured bacterium
Lineage: Bacteria
Description: partial 16S ribosomal RNA
Rfam family: Bacterial small subunit ribosomal RNA
Source: RNAcentral
UACGUAGGGUGCAAGCGUUAAUCGGAAUUACUGGGCGUAAAGCGUGCGCAGGCGGUUGUGCAAGACAGAUGUGAAAUCCCCGGGCUCAACCUGGGAACUGCAUUUGUGACUGCACGGCUGGAGUGCGGCAGAGGGGGAUGGAAUUCCUGGUGUAGCAGUGAAAUGCGUAGAUAUCAGGAGGAACACCGAUGGCGAAGGCAGGUCUCUGGGCUGACACUGACGCUCAUGCACGAAAGCGUGGGGAGCAAACAGG